RNAcentral lists this ribosomal RNA (515 nucleotides) under uncultured bacterium. RNAcentral describes it as "partial 16S ribosomal RNA". It matches the Rfam family "Bacterial small subunit ribosomal RNA", at positions 28 to 523 of the family's 1533-position model. The record is from RNAcentral.
GAUGAACGCUGGCGGCGUGCCUAAUACAUGCAAGUCGAGCGAAUGGAUUAAGAGCUUGCUCUUAUGAAGUUAGCGGCGGACGGGUGAGUAACACGUGGGUAACCUGCCCAUAAGACUGGGAUAACUCCGGGAAACCGGGGCUAAUCCCGGAUAACAUUUUAAACCGCAUGGUUCGAAAUUGAACGGCGGCUUCGGCUGACACUUCUGGAUGGACCCGCGUCGCAUUAGCUAGUUGGUGAGGUAACGGCUCACCAAGGCAACGAUGCGUAGCCGACCUGAGAGGGUGAUCGGCCACACUGGGACUGAGACACGGCCCAGACUCCUACGGGAGGCAGCAGUAGGGAAUCUUCCGCAAUGGACGAAAGUCUGACGGAGCAACGCCGCGUGAGUGAUGAAGGCUUUCGGGUCGUAAAACUCUGUUGUUAGGGAAGAACAAGUGCUAGUUGAAUAAGCUGGCACCUUGACGGUACCUAACCAGAAAGCCACGGCUAACUACGUGCCAGCCGCCGCCGUAA